Molecule: ribosomal RNA, 497 nt
Filed under: uncultured bacterium
Lineage: Bacteria
Description: partial 16S ribosomal RNA
Rfam family: Bacterial small subunit ribosomal RNA
Source: RNAcentral
GAUGAACGCUGGCGGCGUGCCUAAUACAUGCAAGUCGAGCGAACGGACGAGAAGCUUGCUUCUCUGAUGUUAGCGGCGGAUGGGUGAGUAACACGUGGAUAACCUACCUAUAAGACUGGGAUAACUUCGGGAAACCGGAGCUAAUACCGGAUAAUAUUUUGAACCGCAUGGUUCAAUAGUGAAAGACGGUCUUGCUGUCACUUAUAGAUGGAUCCGCGCUGCAUUAGCUAGUUGGUAAGGUAACGGCUUACCAAGGCAACGAUGCAUAGCCGACCUGAGAGGGUGAUCGGCCACACUGGAACUGAGACACGGUCCAGACUCCUACGGGAGGCAGCAGUAGGGAAUCUUCCGCAAUGGGCGAAAGCCUGACGGAGCAACGCCGCGUGAGUGAUGAAGGUCUUCGGAUCGUAAAACUCUGUUAUUAGGGAAGAACAUAUGUGUAAGUAACUGUGCACGUCUUGACGGUACCUAAUCAGAAAGCCACGGCUAACUACGUG